UACGUAGGAGGCGAGCGUUAUCCGGAAUUACUGGGCGUAAAGGGCGCGCAGGCGGCCCUGCAGGUUGGGCGUGAAAGCUCCCGGCUCAACUGGGAGAGGUCGCACAAGACGGCAGGGCUCUGAGGGCAGGAGAGGCCGGUGGAAUUCCCGGUGUAGUGGUGAAAUGCGUAGAGAUCGGGAGGAACACCAGUGGCGAAAGCGGCCGGCUGGUCUGCCACUGACGCUGAGGCGCGAAAGCUAGGGGAGCGAACGG
This 253-nucleotide ribosomal RNA is filed under the name uncultured bacterium. RNAcentral describes it as "partial 16S ribosomal RNA". It matches the Rfam family "Bacterial small subunit ribosomal RNA", at positions 524 to 775 of the family's 1533-position model. The record is from RNAcentral.